This 1863-nucleotide long non-coding RNA is filed under the name Piliocolobus tephrosceles (Ugandan red Colobus). RNAcentral describes it as "lncRNA (ENSPTEG00000002087.1)". Lineage: Eukaryota; Metazoa; Chordata; Mammalia; Primates; Cercopithecidae. The record is from RNAcentral.
AAUGCACAUAUAUAUAUAUAUAUAUAUAUAUUUUUUUUAAGUUCACACAUAUUAAGCUAUAUAAUUUUCUAUUUUGUUAGAUUUUUGUAAAAAAAAAAACAAAAAUUAUGGUAAAGUAAUUAAAAUUAGUUAUAUAUGUAUAACACAUGUGUACAUUUGUAAUUAAAACUAAAAAAAAAAAUAAAAACUAGUAGUUCGUUUUGGAUAUAUACAGUUAUUAUUAUAUAUGUGUGUACAUUUUUUUGUGUCUAUUUUGCUCACAUAUACAUAUAUAUACAUAUAUAUAUAUAUAUAUCAGUGCAAAUACCGAAUUGUGUGAACAUAUAAGUCUAUACAUUUAUACUUACAUUGUCAACGUAUUUAACGCAUAUACAUGUGUACGCUAAUGCAUAUAUGAAGAUAUGUACGUACGUGUAUAAAUAUAAACAAAAAUGAUGGCCGAAGAAUACAAUGAAAAAGAUGUCACAAAUGUUGAUAAUGAAAAAACGCUAGCUACGAAAUUGGAACCUGAGAAAUUAUUUGAAGAUCAGGCAGAGGCAAACGAAACCGAGAGAAACCAGACAGAAUCAAACGAAGCCGAAGAAAAUCAGACAGAGGCAAACAAAACCGAAGAAAAACAGACAGAGGCAAACAAAACCGAAGAAAAACAGACAAAACUAACCGCAAAAAAACUCACCUCUAACUAUGAAGAUGUUCAAAAACACUUUGAGACAUUAAAUGAUACGGUUGAAAACAUGAACAUGCAUUUUAAUAAGGUUUUAGAAAAAAAUGAAGAAAAAUAUAUUUUGGCAUUUAAUACAUAUAUGUAUGACGUACAAAAAGAAAUAAUAUUACUAAAAAAAGCAGUGAAAGAAGAAAAAAUUAAGCAGUUGAAAGAUGAAAGAGUAACGAGUUUACAAAAGGAACUAAAGUGGUACAUAAAUGAAUGUUUACGGCUAGAUGAUGUUUCUCAGUUUUUUAAAAAAGAAGCAGAAAAGUGGAAACGAAACAGCGAACUUAUGAAAGAUCAUAUGUUAUUCUUAGAAGCAAAACUUUCAAAGUUAUUGGAUAAAAAAAUUAAAGAAGAAAGCAUAAAAAAUAAGGAAAUAAAAAAAGAAGAUGAACAUGGUACCGAAGUGACAGAACAUAAAGAAAGUAAAAACAUGGACAAAAAAGAAGCAGCUACAGAAGCAGNNNNNNNNNNAGAAGCAGGAAAAGAAGCAGGAAAAGAAGCAGGAAAAGAAGAAGAAGAAAAAAACAAGCAAACAAAAUUAAAAAUGUCCACAAAUGAAGACAAUAGAAAAAAUAAAAAAAAUGACUCUUACACUAAAGAUAGUGCAAGCAAAAAAAAAAAAGACGUUACAGGAAGAGAUAAUACAGGAAGAGAUAAUACAGGAAGAGAUAAUACAGGAAAAGAUAAUACAGGAAGAGAUAAUACAGGAAAAGAUAAUACAGGAAGAGACACAGAUUUAAACCAUUUAAUAAAACAAAAAGAAAAAACAAAUAAUAUGAUAUGUAAAGAGUUAGACUACAAGAUAAAGAUUUUAGAAAAAAAAUUAAAAAAACAAAUAAGCAUUAAUGAUGACUUACAAGAAAAACUAACCCAACGUUAUAUUGAAAAAUCUCAAUAUGAGAAGUUAUUUAUCGACUGUAUACAUGAAAUUAAAAAAGAUUUGGAAAAAGAAGCUAAAUAUAACGAUAAAGAAAAAUAUAUCGAAAAUAAUUUUUCAGAAUUAAUAAAUAAAGAAGAGUUAAGUUAUUUUACAAAAGAAGAAAAAAAAAAAAAAAAAAAAAAAAAAAGAACAAAAAAAAAAACAGAACAAAAAAAAAACAUAGCAAAAUAGAGCAAAAAAAAUAAAAAAAUCGGAUAUAUGUGUGUGUACA